Molecule: ribosomal RNA, 467 nt
Filed under: uncultured bacterium
Lineage: Bacteria
Description: partial 16S ribosomal RNA
Rfam family: Bacterial small subunit ribosomal RNA
Source: RNAcentral
GACGAACGCUGGCGGCGUGCUUAACACAUGCAAGUCGAACGGAAAGGCCCUGCUUUUGUGGGGUGCUCGAGUGGCGAACGGGUGAGUAACACGUGAGUAACCUGCCCUUGACUUUGGGAUAACUUCAGGAAACUGGGGCUAAUACCGGAUAGGAGCUCCUGCUGCAUGGUGGGGGUUGGAAAGUUUCGGCGGUUGGGGAUGGACUCGCGGCUUAUCAGCUUGUUGGUGGGGUAGUGGCUUACCAAGGCUUUGACGGGUAGCCGGCCUGAGAGGGUGACCGGCCACAUUGGGACUGAGAUACGGCCCAGACUCCUGCGGGAGGCAGCAGUGGGGAAUAUUGCACAAUGGGCGGAAGCCUGAUGCAGCAACGCCGCGUGCGGGAUGACGGCCUUCGGGUUGUAAACCGCUUUCGCCUGUGACGAAGCGUGAGUGACGGUAAUGGGUAAAGAAACACCGGCUAACUACGU